RNAcentral lists this ribosomal RNA (488 nucleotides) under uncultured bacterium. Its description in RNAcentral is "bacterial SSU rRNA". It matches the Rfam family "Bacterial small subunit ribosomal RNA", at positions 8 to 518 of the family's 1533-position model. The record is from RNAcentral.
AGAGUUUGAUUAUGGCUCAGAAUGAACGCUGGCGGCAUGGAUUAGGCAUGCAAGUCGGACGCCCCGGCUUCGGCCGGGGAGUGGCGAAAGGGUGCGCAACGCGUGGGGAACCCGCCCCCGGGCCCGGGACAAGCGCUGGAAACGGCGUCUGAUACGGGAUGCGGACCCGCCUGGCAUCAGGCGGCGUCCAAAGAUUCAUCGCCCGGGGAGGGCCCCGCGUCCCAUUAGCUAGUUGGCGGGGUGACGGCCCACCAAGGCUUCGACGGGUAGGUGGUCUGAGAGGAUGGUCACCCACACUGGGACUGAGACACUGCCCAGACUCCUGCGGGAGGCUGCAGUCGAGAAUCUUCCGCAAUGGGCGAAAAAGCCUGACGGAGCGAUGCCGCGUGAGGGACGGAGGCCUUCGGGUCGUGAACCUCUGUCACCCGGGACGAAGGAAUGACGGUACCGGGAGAGGAAGCCACGGCUAACUACGUGCCAGCCGCGGC